GCCCAAUAUUGUUAAGAAUGAUGAAUGAUCAACUCAUGUUUCUGGAAAGAGCAUUUAUUGAUCCAUUAGGGUUACCAGACAGACCUUUUUAUAGGCAUGUCAUCUAUGCUCCAAGCAGCCACAACAAGUAUGCAGGGGAGUCAUUCCCAGGAAUUUAUGAUGCUCUGUUUGAUAUUGAAAGCAAAGUGGACCCUUCCAAGGCCUGGGGAGAUGUGAAGAGACAGAUUUCUGUUGCAGCCUUCACAGUGCAGGCAGCUGCAGAGACUUUGAGUGAAGUAGCCUAAGAGGAUUCUUUAGAGACUCUGUAUUGAAUUUGUGUGGUAUGUCACUCAAAGAAUAAUAAUGGGUAUAUUGAUAAAUUUUAAAAUUG
This 370-nucleotide long non-coding RNA is filed under the name Homo sapiens (human). Its description in RNAcentral is "non-protein coding lnc-TRIM77-11:2". Lineage: Eukaryota; Metazoa; Chordata; Mammalia; Primates; Hominidae. The record is from RNAcentral.